This 501-nucleotide ribosomal RNA is filed under the name uncultured bacterium. RNAcentral's name for it is "partial 16S ribosomal RNA". It matches the Rfam family "Bacterial small subunit ribosomal RNA", at positions 28 to 506 of the family's 1533-position model. The record is from RNAcentral.
GACGAACGCUGGCGGCGUGCUUAACACAUGCAAGUCGAACGGUGAAGGGGUCUGCUUUUGUGGGCCCUGGAUGAGUGGCGAACGGGUGAGUAACACGUGAGUAACCUGUCCCCUUCUUCUGGAUAACCGCAUGAAAGUGUGGCUAAUACGGGAUAUUCUGGGUCUGUCGCAUGAUGGGUCUGGGAAAGAUUGCGCCUUUGGGUGUUUUUGGUGGGGGAUGGGCUCGCGGCCUAUCAGCUUGUUGGUGGGGUGAUGGCCUACCAAGGCGGUGACGGGUAGCCGGCCUGAGAGGGUGGACGGUCACACUGGGACUGAGACACGGCCCAGACUCCUACGGGAGGCAGCAGUGGGGAAUAUUGCACAAUGGGCGCAAGCCUGAUGCAGCGACGCCGCGUGAGGGAUGGAGGCCUUCGGGUUGUAAACCUCUUUCGCCAGUGAAGCAGGCCUGCUCCUUGUGGGUGGGUUGACGGUAGCUGGAUAAGAAGCGCCGGCUAACUACGU